UACAGAGGUCUCAAGCGUUGUUCGGAUGCAUUGGGCGUAAAGGGUGCGUAGGCGGCGCGGUAAGUCGGGGGGGAAAUCUCGGAGCUUAACUCCGAAACUGCAUUCGAUACUGCCGUGCUUGAGGACUGGAGAGGAGACUGGAAUUUACGGUGUAGCGGUGAAAUGCGUAGAUAUCGUAAGGAAGACCAGUGGCGAAGGCGGGUCUCUGGACAGUUCCUGACGCUGAGGCACGAAGGUCAGGGGAGCAAACGGG
This 253-nucleotide ribosomal RNA is filed under the name uncultured bacterium. RNAcentral describes it as "partial 16S ribosomal RNA". It matches the Rfam family "Bacterial small subunit ribosomal RNA", at positions 524 to 776 of the family's 1533-position model. The record is from RNAcentral.